UACAGAGGGUGCGAGCGUUGUUCGGAAUUACUGGGCGUAGAGCGCGCGCAGGCGGCCCUUUAAGUCUACCCGUGAAAUGCCGGAGCUCAACUCCGUGCACGCCGGGGGAUACUGGGGGGCUGGAGACAUGUAGAGGCAAGCGGAAUUCCGGGUGUAGCGGUGGAAUGCGUAGAUAUCUGGAGGAACACCGGUGGCGAAGGCGACAUCCUGGACCGGUAUUGACGCUGAGGCGCGAAAGCCAGGGGAGCAAACGGG
This 255-nucleotide ribosomal RNA is filed under the name uncultured bacterium. RNAcentral describes it as "partial 16S ribosomal RNA". It matches the Rfam family "Bacterial small subunit ribosomal RNA", at positions 524 to 776 of the family's 1533-position model. The record is from RNAcentral.